This 725-nucleotide long non-coding RNA is filed under the name Rattus norvegicus (Norway rat). RNAcentral describes it as "long non-coding RNA NONRATT011906". Lineage: Eukaryota; Metazoa; Chordata; Mammalia; Rodentia; Muridae. The record is from RNAcentral.
GGUCUCCUGUACAGUGAGGCCGGUGAAAGUGGAAUCUUAAGCUCCCCAGGGCACUGCAUUGUGUGAGCUUCAGGAGCUCAGAGGCGAAGCUGGUGACAUUUCACUUACCAUUUGGCUGUGUAAAAUGACCCAGUCUAGGGCAGGAAAGCUAUCUGCCUAGGAUUGAGACUGAGAAGAGUGGUCAGGAGUGGUUACCUGGUUGCAGCUUUUCUUUUUAAAUUUGGUGUAAAUGCGUGACUGCACUUAGCUGUGAGGCAGGUUGAUUCCUACCCAGGUAACACUAGGUCAUGGUACUGCUUUGAACCAUAGUCUCCUCUUUCCUUUUGCUGACCUCAGGCACCACACAGUCACUCGAGGCAUCACCAAAGGUGUGAAGGAGGACUUCCGCCUGGCCAUGGAGCGCCAGGUCUCCCGCUGUGGUGAGAACCUGAUGGUGGUCCUGCAUCGCUUCUGCAUUAAUGAGAAGAUCCUGCUCCUGCAGACUCUGACCUGAUCGACCUCCCUCCUGGCCACCAGCAGCUCAGCUGGGACAAGCGCUGCCAGACCAGGGCUGGGGAAGAAGGAAGACACCAAGUUCUAACUCCCUUAGUUGCUUCAAAGUUAUCCCAAGAGUUAGGGAGUUGUUUCUAUUUUUAAGACUUCGGGUUUUUUAAUUUGUACAAAAUAAGAGUCAAUCCAUUUUGUAAAUAAAAAUCCUAAAAGUUUGAAGUUUGGAAAAAAACCUU